Molecule: ribosomal RNA, 759 nt
Filed under: Myriangiales sp.
Lineage: Eukaryota; Fungi; Ascomycota; Dothideomycetes; Myriangiales
Description: SSU rRNA
Rfam family: Eukaryotic small subunit ribosomal RNA
Source: RNAcentral
GCUCAAAGAUUAAGCCAUGCAUGUCUAAGUAUAAGCAACUAUACGGUGAAACUGCGAAUGGCUCAUUAAAUCAGUUAUCGUUUAUUUGAUAGUACCUUACUACAUGGAUAACCGUGGUAAUUCUAGAGCUAAUACAUGCUAAAAACCCCGACUUCGGAAGGGGUGUAUUUAUUAGAUAAAAAACCAAUGCCCUUCGGGGCUCUCUGGUGAAUCAUAAUAACUUAACGAAUCGCAUGGCCUUGCGCCGGCGAUGGUUCAUUCAAAUUUCUGCCCUAUCAACUUUCGAUUGUAGGAUAGAGGCCUACAAUGGUAUCAACGGGUAACGGGGAAUUAGGGUUCGAUUCCGGAGAGGGAGCCUGAGAAACGGCUACCACAUCCAAGGAAGGCAGCAGGCGCGCAAAUUACCCAAUCCCGACACGGGGAGGUAGUGACAAUAAAUACUGAUACAGGGCUCUUUUGGGUCUUGUAAUUGGAAUGAGUACAAUCUAAAUCCCUUAACGAGGAACAAUUGGAGGGCAAGUCUGGUGCCAGCAGCCGCGGUAAUUCCAGCUCCAAUAGCGUAUAUUAAAGUUGUUGCAGUUAAAAAGCUCGUAGUUGAACCUUGGGCCUGGCUGGCCGGUCCGCCUCACCGCGUGCACUGGUUCGGCCGGGCCUUUCCUUCUGGGGAGCCGCAUGCCCUUCACUGGGCGUGUCGGGGAACCAGGACUUUUACUUUGAAAAAAUUAGAGUGUUCAAAGCAGGCCUUCGCUCGAAUACAUU